RNAcentral lists this long non-coding RNA (294 nucleotides) under Mytilus galloprovincialis (Mediterranean mussel). The record is from RNAcentral. Lineage: Eukaryota; Metazoa; Mollusca; Bivalvia; Mytilida; Mytilidae.
CUAAAGAGAUGAUGUCCUUUUGAAUAGAUGGUUUCGAGUUUGAUGGUCUACCAAAAUAUUGCUGCAAACCUUCUGUGUAGCUGUCAAUAAGGUCAUUGCAGCCCUGCAAACUUCUACCACAUCUUUGAAUUGAAGAUGAUGACAAAUUUCCACUUAAUGAGUUCAAUGAAUCUUUGGCCCUCUAGCGCCAAAUCAUCUGUUACAUUUUCCUCCCCCACCAUGAAUGUUCACUCCCUUGUUGUGACGCAGUUGGUGUGCUAGCUUUGGUGGAAGAAGUGCUAACAGCUGAGCUUG